AACGAACGCUGGCGGCAGGCUUAACACAUGCAAGUCGAACGCCCCGCAAGGGGAGUGGCAGACGGGUGAGUAACGCGUGGGAACAUACCCUUUUCUACGGAAUAGCUCUGGGAAACUGGAAUUAAUACCGUAUACGCCCUACGGGGGAAAGAUUUAUCGGGGAAGGAUUGGCCCGCGUUGGAUUAGCUAGUUGGUGGGGUAAAGGCCUACCAAGGCGACGAUCCAUAGCUGGUCUGAGAGGAUGAUCAGCCACAUUGGGACUGAGACACGGCCCAAACUCCUACGGGAGGCAGCAGUGGGGAAUAUUGGACAAUGGGCGCAAGCCUGAUCCAGCCAUGCCGCGUGAGUGAUGAAGGCCUUAGGGUUGUAAAGCUCUUUCACCGAUGAAGAUAAGGACGGUAGUCGGAGAAGAAGCCCCGGCUAACUUCGU
This 430-nucleotide ribosomal RNA is filed under the name uncultured bacterium. RNAcentral describes it as "partial 16S ribosomal RNA". It matches the Rfam family "Bacterial small subunit ribosomal RNA", at positions 29 to 506 of the family's 1533-position model. The record is from RNAcentral.